CACGUAGGGGGCAAGCGUUGUCCGGAAUUAUUGGGCGUAAAGAGCUCGUAGGCGGUCUGUCGCGUCGGAUGUGAAAACUCGGGGCUCAACCCCGAGCCUGCAUUCGAAACGGGCAGACUAGAGUUCGGUAGGGGAGACUGGAAUUCCUGGUGUAGCGGUGAAAUGCGCAGAUAUCAGGAGGAACACCGGUGGCGAAGGCGGGUCUCUGGGCCGAUACUGACGCUGAGGAGCGAAAGCGUGGGGAGCGAACAGG
Molecule: ribosomal RNA, 253 nt
Filed under: uncultured bacterium
Lineage: Bacteria
Description: partial 16S ribosomal RNA
Rfam family: Bacterial small subunit ribosomal RNA
Source: RNAcentral